AGAAAACAAAUUCGAGCUCAGAUUCUUUUGCUCUGAGCAAACCAAAUUUACUCACCACGGAUGGGAUGUACGAGCUCUCUCCAUUGCCUCUAACGAGGAUCGAUCUAAGAGCAUUGACUGGCGGUGGCUUUGUUCUCUAUCUAGAUCUGAAUCAGAUGUAAUUGAACAGAUCUAGAAGUCUCUCAGUCUGCCUAUGGCUCUCUUAGACCAACAUCAUGGAUCCUGAUUCCCGACCUAUGCCGCUAAAGCUACAGACUUGAAUCAAGUGCUGGUUUGGUUGCCAAGAUGAGCAGAGGCACCCUCUUCUCUCAUCUGUUUAUCAGAUUGGAACCUAAUAAUGAGUAGCUUGAUACUUGAGAUUGUUAGUUAAUCAAGGCAUGGU
Rosa chinensis is the source of this 382-nucleotide long non-coding RNA. RefSeq lists it as uncharacterized. The transcript has 5 exons. Lineage: Eukaryota; Viridiplantae; Streptophyta; Magnoliopsida; Rosales; Rosaceae. The record is from RefSeq and is a predicted model, not a curated record.